RNAcentral lists this ribosomal RNA (256 nucleotides) under uncultured bacterium. RNAcentral's name for it is "partial 16S ribosomal RNA". It matches the Rfam family "Bacterial small subunit ribosomal RNA", at positions 524 to 776 of the family's 1533-position model. The record is from RNAcentral.
UACGUAGGGUGCAAGCGUUUGUCCGGAAUUAUUGGGCGUAAAGAGCUCGUAGGCGGUUUGUCGCGUCUGCUGUGAAAACCCGAGGCUCAACCUCGGGCCUGCAGUGGGUACGGGCAGACUAGAGUGCGGUAGGGGAGAUUGGAAUUCCUGGUGUAGCGGUGAAAAUGCGCAGAUAUCAGGAGGAACACCGGUGGCGAAGGCGGGUCUCGUGGGCCGUAACUGACGCUGAGGAGCGAAAGCGUGGGGAGCGAACAGG